Molecule: ribosomal RNA, 301 nt
Filed under: uncultured bacterium
Lineage: Bacteria
Description: partial 16S ribosomal RNA
Rfam family: Bacterial small subunit ribosomal RNA
Source: RNAcentral
CAGUCGCCGCGGGAAUACGUAGGUCCCGAGCGUUGUCCGGAUUUAUUGGGCGUAAAGCGAGCGCAGGCGGUUAGAUAAGUCUGAAGUUAAAGGCUGUGGCUUAACCAUAGUACGCUUUGGAAACUGUUUAACUCGAGUGCAAGAGGGGAGAGUGGAAUUCCAUGUGUAGCGGUGAAAUGCGUAGAUAUAUGGAGGAACACCGGUGGCGAAAGCGGCUCUCUGGCUUGUAACUGACGCUGAGGCUCGAAAGCGUGUGGAGCAAACAGGAUUAGAUACCCCCGUAGUCCCUGUCUCUUAUCAC